ACGCAUAUUGCGAUUUCUGGUAUUACGGAGAGCAUGCCUGUUUCAGAAACGUUUUACCCUCACAAACCCCACUCUUUUAACUUGUUUAAAGGCGUGGGCAAGUGGAUAUGAGAGUUUUCCGUGCGCUAAUUGAAAGAUAAGCCGCGGUCUCUUGAAAGUAAAUGUCGGUUUGCUCUUUUUAAAGCUCGCCCUUCGACAUAAAAGACGUGAUGAUGAUGGUUAACCACUUUUAAAGCGUCGAGAGAAGAGAAAUGAGGAUUUAGAGGAUUAACGAUUACUGUAAUCGCACAAGGGUGAUUUGUACCUGAAUGCGUGAAUUUGCCAGGCGUCCUUUUUUUUUAAAAGGGCGAAAACCUGAACUUUUUGUCUGAAAUCAAGCAAGAGAACCCGCUGAACUUAA
This 400-nucleotide unclassified non-coding RNA is filed under the name uncultured fungus. Its description in RNAcentral is "partial contains ITS1, 5.8S rRNA and ITS2". The record is from RNAcentral. Lineage: Eukaryota; Fungi.